Molecule: transfer RNA, 66 nt
Filed under: Endochironomus pekanus
Lineage: Eukaryota; Metazoa; Arthropoda; Insecta; Diptera; Chironomidae
Description: tRNA-Pro
Source: RNAcentral
CAGAAAAUAGUUUAUUUAAAAUAUUAAUUUUGGGAAUUAAUGAAAAAUAUUUAUAUUUUUUUCUGA